CGGCACGGGUGAGUAACACGUAUCCAACCUGCCGUCUACUCUUGGCCAGCCUUCUGGAAGGAAGAUUAAUCCAGGAUGGCAUCAUGAGUUCACAUGUCCGCAUGAUUAAAGGUAUUUUCCGGUAGACGAUGGGGAUGCGUUCCAUUAGAUAGUAGGCGGGGUAACGGCCCACCUAGUCAACGAUGGAUAGGGGUUCUGAGAGGAAGGUCCCCCACAUUGGAACUGAGACACGGUCCAA
This 238-nucleotide ribosomal RNA is filed under the name uncultured bacterium. RNAcentral's name for it is "partial 16S ribosomal RNA". It matches the Rfam family "Bacterial small subunit ribosomal RNA", at positions 100 to 334 of the family's 1533-position model. The record is from RNAcentral.